UGCGUAGGCGGACCUAUCAGUCAGUGGUGAAAUCCCGGGGCUCAACUCCGGAACUGCCAUUGAUACUGUAGGUCUUGAGUUUGGUUGAAGUGGGCGGAAUGUAGCAUGUAGCGGUGAAAUGCAUAGAUAUGCUACAGAACACCGAUCGCGAAGGCAGCUCACUAAACCAAAACUGACGCUCAGGCACGAAAGCGUGGGUAGCGAACAGGAUUAGAUACCCUGGUAGUCC
RNAcentral lists this ribosomal RNA (229 nucleotides) under uncultured bacterium. RNAcentral describes it as "partial 16S ribosomal RNA". It matches the Rfam family "Bacterial small subunit ribosomal RNA", at positions 568 to 796 of the family's 1533-position model. The record is from RNAcentral.